UACUGCGCUCCUGUUCGUGGUGCCCGCGCAUGGUUUUCCGUGCCGGGUGAAACGGGAAGCCGGUGAGGCCUGGUCCAUCCAGUCCAAUUCCGGCGCUGCCCCCGCAACGGUAAGGAAGUGCGAGCUCAUCAACACGCCACUGGGUCGAAGUUGGACCUGGGAAGGCGAUGAACUAAGACUUCCAAGCCCGGAGACCGGCCAAGGACAAACCAGCGAA
Molecule: non-coding RNA, 217 nt
Filed under: Rhodocyclales bacterium
Lineage: Bacteria; Pseudomonadati; Pseudomonadota; Betaproteobacteria; Rhodocyclales
Source: RNAcentral